CUCGGAGCGGGGCGGGGCGGGCGCGCUGACGUCACGGGCGGCGGCGCUGAGGCCGCGCCCACCCCUCAGCCGCGCGGCUUCCGCCCGGUUGCCAUGGAGACGGGUACACAGCGCGGCCCUGCGCGCCCGCGGGGCCUCCGCCAUGAGCCAGCGGCAGGUGCUGCAAGUGUUCGAGCAGUACCAGCGCGCCCGGACCCAGUUCGUGCAGGCGGUGGCCGAGCUGUCCGCCAGGCCGCACAACGCCGACAGCCUGAGGAGCGCAGGUACCUGGGGGGCCGUGGGGGGCUGCGGGGGGCUGUGAGGGGCUGUGAGGGGCUGCGGGGGUCCAUGGGGGGCUGUGAGGGGCCGUGAGGGGCUGUGGGGGCCCGACCCCCGCGGGCCGUGAGGGGCUGACCCCGGGUUCCCCCCCCCCGGCCGUGCCCGCAGCCCCGCUUCUCCUCCGGCUUCCCCUCCGGUUCCCUCUAUCCCAGCCCCUCCGAGGGGUUUCCGUGGUGUUCCGUGCGUUAUAGUGCUGCCCCUGGGAGUUGUUCAGAGAUUCCUGCGUGUUCCUCGCCGGCCGGGCUGCUCGGCUCGGCUCGGCACGGGCUCGCUUCUGCCGAGCCGGGGAUGCUGCGGGACAGCGGCUGUGCCGUGCUGCUGGCAGCCCCGCUCCGCUUCCCCCAGGUCCCUGAGCUUAACCGAGGACAAAGAGGUGCUCCGAAGUUAAUCACCUGCCAGGCACCGAGACAGAGCGCUGUAAAUCCAUAGUUGCUUUGCCAUAUGGUGUCCACGAACUGGUUGUGUUUUGCUUCGUCCCGAUUUUGUUUUCAGUGCCUGCCUCCCAGCGCUUGCGAAGCUCUCGGUCUAGCCCGAGAGACAAACAAACAACCAGAAAAAGAAAAGCAGUCGUGUAAAUACUUUCGGGUUUCGGGUGUUGUGAUUGCAGCUCUCUGUUAAAAUAGUUCUGCUGAAAAUUGAUCGCUUGCAUACUUUGGUAAGGAAACAUUUGCGUGGGUUAUGGGAGUGACACGCUGCCACCAGGCCUUUUGGAUUGCCUGGUGCUGCUUCUCGGUUUUGUUUGAAUCUUUCAGUGAGAUAAUGCCACUGCUUUAAUUUAUACAAAUCAUCCUCAUUUACCAAAGCGACAUCUUGGCCGUAGGAACAGAUUGCAUCGUAUUUGUAAGAAGAGGUCCCUCUGUGGCCAUUUACAGUUCUGGGUUUUGUCUGUUUGCAGACAGAGGUCCCAUUCAGGCACAGUUCGUACAGUUUGGUGUUUUAAAAACGGCAGAAAACUUCUAUUUUAAGAGAGCAAUCAAAGUGUCAAGCUAAUUUUACUUCCGUUGUAUUUCAUGAUCUUAAAAUAAUUGUCUGA
RNAcentral lists this long non-coding RNA (1351 nucleotides) under Anas platyrhynchos platyrhynchos (common mallard). RNAcentral's name for it is "lncRNA (ENSAPLG00000028558.1)". The record is from RNAcentral. Lineage: Eukaryota; Metazoa; Chordata; Aves; Anseriformes; Anatidae.